This 492-nucleotide ribosomal RNA is filed under the name uncultured bacterium. Its description in RNAcentral is "partial 16S ribosomal RNA". It matches the Rfam family "Bacterial small subunit ribosomal RNA", at positions 29 to 507 of the family's 1533-position model. The record is from RNAcentral.
AGUGAACGCUGGCGGUAGGCCUAACACAUGCAAGUCGAACGGCAGCACAGUAAGAGCUUGCUCUUACGGGUGGCGAGUGGCGGACGGGUGAGGAAUACAUCGGAAUCUACUUUUUCGUGGGGGAUAACGUAGGGAAACUUACGCUAAUACCGCAUACGACCUACGGGUGAAAGCAGGGGAUCUUCGGACCUUGCGCGAUUGAAUGAGCCGAUGUCGGAUUAGCUAGUUGGCGGGGUAAAGGCCCACCAAGGCGACGAUCCGUAGCUGGUCUGAGAGGAUGAUCAGCCACAGUGGAACUGAGACACGGUCCAGACUCCUACGGGAGGCAGCAGUGGGGAAUAUUGGGCAAUGGGCGCAAGCCUGAUCCAGCCAUACCGCGUGGGUGAAGAAGGCCUUCGGGUUGUAAAGCCCUUUUGUUGGGAAAGAAAAGCAGCAGGUUAAUACCCCGCUGUUCUGACGGUACCCAAAGAAUAAGCACCGGCUAACUUCGUG